This 252-nucleotide ribosomal RNA is filed under the name uncultured bacterium. RNAcentral describes it as "partial 16S ribosomal RNA". It matches the Rfam family "Bacterial small subunit ribosomal RNA", at positions 524 to 776 of the family's 1533-position model. The record is from RNAcentral.
UACGGGGGGGCAAGCGUUGUUCGGAAUUACUGGGCGUAAAGGGCUCGUAGGCGGCCAACUAAGUCGGACGUGAAAUCCCCCGGCUUAACCUGGGAACUGCGUCUGAUACUGGAAGGCUUGAGGAUGGGAGAGGGAUGUAGAAUUCCAGGUGUAGCGGUGAAAUGCGUAGAUAUCUGGAGGAAUACCGGUGGCGAAGGCGGCAUCCUGGACCAUUACUGACGCUGAGGCGCGAAAGCUAGGGGAGCAAACGGG